This 72-nucleotide transfer RNA is filed under the name Cordylochernes scorpioides. Its description in RNAcentral is "tRNA-Glu". It matches the Rfam family "tRNA". Rfam says of the family: Transfer RNA (tRNA) molecules are approximately 80 nucleotides in length. Their secondary structure includes four short double-helical elements and three loops (D, anti-codon, and T loops). The record is from RNAcentral. Lineage: Eukaryota; Metazoa; Arthropoda; Arachnida; Pseudoscorpiones; Chernetidae.
UCCCAAGUGGUCUAGUGGCUAAGAUACCUGGCUUUCACCCAGAAUGCCCGGGUUUGAUUCCUGACGUGGGAA